CUAAGUUUGAUGGCGACCGGCGCACGGGUGAGUAACACGUAUCCAACCUGCCGAUGACUCGGGGAUAGCCUUUCGAAAGAAAGAUUAAUACCCGAUGGCAUAGUUCUUCCGCAUGGUAGAACUAUUAAAGGAUUUCGGUCAUCGAUGGGGAUGCGUUCCAUUAGGUUGUUGGNGGGGUAACGGCCCACCAAGCCUUCGAUGGAUAGGGGUUCUGAGAGGAAGGUCCCCCACAUUGGAACUGAGACACGGUCCAAACUCCUACGGGAGGCAGCAUG
RNAcentral lists this ribosomal RNA (275 nucleotides) under uncultured bacterium. Its description in RNAcentral is "partial 16S ribosomal RNA". It matches the Rfam family "Bacterial small subunit ribosomal RNA", at positions 79 to 353 of the family's 1533-position model. The record is from RNAcentral.